CUCUAAAAAUGGCUGGGUUAUUUUUUAACCCAAAAUGCUGGGUUGAGUCUGUUGGGUUGUUUUGCUGGGUUAUUUUUUUACAUUUUAAACACUUUUUGGGUAGUUUCAGUUUUCUAGGUGUUGGGUUAAAACUGCUGGGUUAUUAUGUUGGGUUGUUUGAAGAGGCUCAUGUGCUUCGCGCCUUUGAUGUUUGAAUGUGUCGUCGUGAAAGGACAGAGUCACUGGAAGCGGUUGUUUCAAGGUAAGUUUAUAUGUUUUUGUGAACAUUUCAUGAAUAUAAACAAGAUUAUAACAUUUUGCGAGACAGCAACGUGUUAAUUUAUAGAGACUAAGACGACGGGUGUAAUUUGGAGGAAUGACGACUGUUACCUCAGAUCGCCAUUUACACAAAUUGACUCGAAUAAUCGUUCUAAGAUGUUUGAUAUGGCAAAUUAAUAAAAUAGAUGUUACAAAAUCCCCAUCACACGGUUGAUUACGUUAACUCAUGACAAUUUCUGUAAGCCUUUAACAAAGCGAGUCAAAACCGGUACCGAGUCGACCUCCGCAACCCCACUUCGGCUUCUUGUGUCACACACGCGCAGUUUUCCCUUUCCCAGCUUAACAAGCGAUAGCGACGCUGUUAAAUUAAAUUUAACGACAAACGAGUUGCUUUCUUGUCAUUCGAUAUGUAAAGACAGACCGCGAGGCGCGAGCACAUGUUAACCAGCGGCGGAGGAUCACGGAGCCGGCGUCUCUGUCACUGAGGCAGGGUCAGGGCAAGCAGCAAAUUUACUUCACCGUCGGUACGGCAGAGUGUGCAGAGUUUUAACGUCCAUCCAUUGAUGAGGCUAGCAAGACCUUCAUACAACUUCAGCCAAUUGCAACAAAUGUGGUGGAAUUUCUUCUCUGGACAGAAUCCUCGAAACCCUUUCCUUUCGUCCUGGCCAUGGGAAACAUGCAGCAGAUCUCUCAAUCUUUUUUCUCAAUCAGUCUCUCUGAAUACGGAAGUGACUUAAACUGCAAUUCGGCCAAGAUGGCGACGGCACGCACCGCCUACUUUAAGCUUCAAAAAUGCUCUUCAUAAACCAAUGGGUGAUGUCACGGACACUACUUGCACAUUUUUUACAGUCUCUGGUUUAAAGGCAUUUUAAGUGCUUGAAAAUAAAUACCCCAGGCAAUGUGCUUCUAUGGGAAUUCCUGUAGUCUGUCAUUUUUCAAAUGGAUAAAUCCUCUCCUGUUCGUUUCCUUUGUACAUCUUUGUUCGCGACGAGUAACUUUAAUAAAUGAAGUAUUUUUAGUCAAAUACAUUCCAUUCUGUAAACCU
Non-coding RNA from Misgurnus anguillicaudatus (oriental weatherfish), 1303 nucleotides. The record is from RefSeq and is a predicted model, not a curated record. Lineage: Eukaryota; Metazoa; Chordata; Actinopteri; Cypriniformes; Cobitidae.